GAUCGAACCUGUGCCACAGCAGUGACAACACUGGAUCCUUAACCUGCUGCACCACAAGGGAACUCCUGCUAUAACAUUUUGUCUUCGUCUCCAUAACCAGUAUCAAGAAUUGUCAUAACCAGUGUCAGAGAUUGUGUAAGUUAUAGUAUUUUCACUAUACCCUUGAUGGAAAAACUCAGAGUGCUCAAGUCCCACAGGAAGUGAUGGCAGUGGGACAAUGUGAUUGGGAAGAACUUGCUUUUGAAAUUUGCCAUAUUUAACAGCAGGGUAAACCAUGAAACUAUUGGAAAUGCACAGGCCUUGAGAAGUUUGCUUUAAUGAUUUUGGAAGACAGAGGGAUUUGGCCAACAGUUCAUUUUUAGUUCAAAUCAGUGUGAAAUUUCCUAUACAAUAUUCCAGAUUUGGCCAGGGCAUCCCACUCCAUUCCACAUCAAAGAUAUGCCCUCCAAGGGGAGUUCUGAGCCAUCUGACACACACGUCCCCAGAGGCAUUAGCUGUUUUUUGACUGGACCAUGUAUUGGCUCAUGCUGUUUAAGGUUUGUAAUGUAAAAAACAACUAAAUCUCAAGUCCAUAUUCUCCUAUGGCCAGUCUUGUUGAGGUUAUUUUAUAGAGUUCGAGACUUCCUGGUGUCCAGAUAAAACACUUCAGCAAAUGGCCUCCUUUAGAAGAUACUGUACAUGUGGCUUUGCAGUGUGACUUCACACUACUCAGUGGUCUGGCAGCUCGUGAAUAGGAUUAUUUGUAUCUCUCAUAAAAUCUAAGGUCCUGGAGUUCCUGUUGUGGCGCAAUGGUUAACGAAUCCGACUAGGAACCAUGAGGUUACGGGUUUGAUCCCUGGCCUUGCUCAGUGGGUUAAGGACCCGGCAUUGCAGUGAGCUGUGGUGUAGGUUGCAGAUUGCAGACUCGGCUCGGAUCUGGUGUUGCUGUGGCUCUGGCGUAGGCCGGUGGCUACAGCUCCAACUCGUCCCCUAGCCUGGGAACCUCCAUAUACUGUGGGUACAGCCCUAGAAAAGACAAAAGACAAAAGACAAAAAAAAAAAAAAAAAAAAAAAAAAAAAACCAAAACUAAGAUCCUGAUUCAUGGUCACUCCAGUGAUUGAAGAAUGAGACAGAUGUGAUACCUUGACCGCCAUUCCAAUCCUCACCAUUGAGCCAAUGAGAUGCCUCUGUUGAAACUCAGCUGUAGGUAUGGUUUACCUCUUAACUGAUAGAAAGCAGUGCUUAAAUACAAGCUGCUACAAAGCUUAAAGGAAAUGAUCUUUAGCCCGGUUUCCUAAUGCAUUUAUCACUAUGUUGGCUUCAGUAGGUCAGAGAUAGUACUGAAAUGCAACAGUGUUUUUUCCUUGGAUCCUGCCACUUAAUCUACAGCUUUGAGAAAAUGAUUUAUUUUUGGCUGCUCCUGCAGCAUGCAGAACUUCCUGGGUCAGCAAUUAAACCCACACCACAGCUGUAACCAGAGCCACAGCAGUGAUAACGCUGGAUCCUUAACCUACAGAGCCAUCAGGGAAGUCCUAAAUUUCUCUAAUUGGCUAGAGCAUCACUUUAAUCCUGUGUAAAUCAAGAACUUGAUCUGUAACUAACAAAUAUCCCUAAUUAGAAUUGAGAUGUGAUUUCUAAUAGCCUACAAUGAAAACUGUACCCAGAUGGCAAUGUUUAACUCAUUUAUACAGAUUCUAUGAAGGUACAGCAAGUAGUCUCAAUAUAAAAUAUAUUUGAGAUAUGAGGAAAUGUGGGUAAGUUGAGUGCUAAUCCUAAAACAUAAGCUGACAGUCUUAAAAGUCAUACUAAAGGGUAUUCUCCUGAUUUAGGAGCUAUUUUUUCCUUUGUUAUUUCUUAGAGAGGUUUCCUUUGGUUAAGAAUCAAGCAGUGUCCAUUCAUUUACUUUGCAUAUGAACAAGUAUCAAUUUCACAAACUUAUAGUAACUCUAGUACUUAAUAUUUUCACUUAAAAAAUUUUUUUUGAAGCGCCAGGUUAGCUAUUUAGGAAUUUUGCAGAAGUAGAUUUGUCACUUGGAUAUUUCUAAACAUUGCUUUGAAGAGUACAGAGAUCCAGUUGUUUCGUUCUGAACUUGUAACAAGAUCCUCGCAGCUUAGAUGACAGGUCACCAUAGGCGAAGAGUUUUGUUUUUGGUUAAGAUAUGACAGAUUUUAGAAUUUAGAGUACCUUUCCAAUGCCAUCUUGUUUUGCUACUUUUUUGUUUUUUUUUUUUUAGGGCCGCACCCAUGGCAUAUGGAGGUUCCCAGGCUAGGGGUCCAAUUGGACCUGUAGCUGCCAGCCUAUGCCAGAGCCACAGCAACACUGGAUCCGAGCCAAGUCUGUGGCCCACACCACAGCUCAUGGCAACACCAGAUCCUCAGCCCACUGAGCGAGGUCGGGGAUCAAACCUGCAUCUUCAUGGAUCCUAGUCUGGUUUGUUAACCGCUGAGCCAUGAGGG
This 2437-nucleotide long non-coding RNA is filed under the name Sus scrofa (pig). Its description in RNAcentral is "lncRNA (ENSSSCG00055007567.1)". Lineage: Eukaryota; Metazoa; Chordata; Mammalia; Artiodactyla; Suidae. The record is from RNAcentral.